GGGGCCGUAGUCUAGCUUGGUUAGGACUCCGGCUUCGGGAGCCGGGAACCCCGGUUCAAAUCCGGGCGGCCCCA
The sequence is a transfer RNA, 74 nucleotides long. It matches the Rfam family "tRNA". From Rfam's summary of the family: Transfer RNA (tRNA) molecules are approximately 80 nucleotides in length. Their secondary structure includes four short double-helical elements and three loops (D, anti-codon, and T loops).